RNAcentral lists this ribosomal RNA (485 nucleotides) under Xylotrupes damarensis. RNAcentral describes it as "partial large subunit ribosomal RNA". It matches the Rfam family "Bacterial large subunit ribosomal RNA", at positions 1808 to 2563 of the family's 2925-position model. Lineage: Eukaryota; Metazoa; Arthropoda; Insecta; Coleoptera; Scarabaeidae. The record is from RNAcentral.
CAAAAACAUGUCUUUUUGAUUAUAAUUUAAAGUCUAACCUGCCCAAUGAGGAGUUAAAUGGCCGCGGUAUUUUGACCGUGCAAAGGUAGCAUAAUCAUUAGUUUUUUAAUUGAAAGCUGGUAUGAAUGGUUGGACGAGAAAAUAACUGUCUCGGUUUAAAUUAAAUUAGAAUUUUAUUUAUGAGUAAAAAAGCUCAUAUGAGUUUAAAAGACGAGAAGACCCUAUAGAAUUUAAUAUAUGUAUAUAUAUAUUAUUUUUAGUAUUAAUAAUAAGUUAUAUAUAAUUAUAUUUUGUUGGGGUGAUGGAAAAAUUAAAUUAACUUUUUUUAUAUAAAAACAUUAAUGUACGAAAAAAUGAUCCGUUAAUUACGAUUAUAAGAUUAAAUUACCUUAGGGAUAACAGCGUAAUUUUUUUUCAGAGUUCUUAUCGAAAAAAGAGUUUGCGACCUCGAUGUUGGAUUAAAAUUAACUUUUGGUGUAGGGGCU